Molecule: ribosomal RNA, 133 nt
Organism: Erinaceus europaeus (western European hedgehog)
Lineage: Eukaryota; Metazoa; Chordata; Mammalia; Eulipotyphla; Erinaceidae
Source: Ensembl
GUCUAUGGCCAUACCACCGUGAAUGAGCUUAGUCUCAUCUGAUCUCAGAAGCUAAGCAAGGUCAGGCUUGGUUAGUACUUGGAUGGGAGAAUCUAUACCUUCAGAUCCAUUUACAAACCCAGGGUCAUUAAUU